This 359-nucleotide ribosomal RNA is filed under the name uncultured bacterium. RNAcentral's name for it is "bacterial SSU rRNA". It matches the Rfam family "Bacterial small subunit ribosomal RNA", at positions 29 to 416 of the family's 1533-position model. The record is from RNAcentral.
AACGAACGCUGGCGGCAUGCCUAACACAUGCAAGUCGAACGAACCCUUCGGGGUUAGUGGCGCACGGGUGCGUAACACGUGGAAUCUGCCCUUUGCUUCGGAAUAACAGUUAGAAAUGACUGCUAAUACCGGAUGAUGUCGUAAGACCAAAGAUUUAUCGGCAAAGGAUGAGCCCGCGUAGGAUUAGGUAGUUGGUGGGGUAAAGGCCUACCAAGCCAACGAUCCUUAGCUGGUCUGAGAGGAUGAUCAGCCACACUGGGACUGAGACACGGCCCAGACUCCUACGGGAGGCAGCAGUGGGGAAUAUUGGACAAUGGGCGAAAGCCUGAUCCAGCAAUGCCGCGUGAGUGAUGAAGGCC